UACAGAGGGGGCAAGCGUUGUUCGGAAUUACUGGGCGUAAAGGGCGCGUAGGCGGCCUUCUAAGUCGAACGUGAAAUCUCCGGGCUCAACCCGGGAACUGCGUCCGAUACUGGAAGGCUUGAAUCCGGGAGAGGGAUGCGGAAUUCCAGGUGUAGCGGUGAAAUGCGUAGAUAUCUGGAGGAACACCGGUGGCGAAGGCGGCAGCCUGGACCGGCAUUGACGCUGAGGCGCGAAAGCCAGGGGAGCAAACGGG
RNAcentral lists this ribosomal RNA (253 nucleotides) under uncultured bacterium. RNAcentral describes it as "partial 16S ribosomal RNA". It matches the Rfam family "Bacterial small subunit ribosomal RNA", at positions 524 to 776 of the family's 1533-position model. The record is from RNAcentral.